GGAAACCUGAUCAUGUAGAUCGACCGGUCUUGAAAACCGGUCAGCCGGGUUAGAUUCCCGGGGUUUCCGCCA
RNAcentral lists this transfer RNA (72 nucleotides) under Cloning vector pBAD_Ub-wt_MmPylRS_pylToptserT.UGA. RNAcentral describes it as "tRNA-Ser". It matches the Rfam family "tRNA". Rfam says of the family: Transfer RNA (tRNA) molecules are approximately 80 nucleotides in length. Their secondary structure includes four short double-helical elements and three loops (D, anti-codon, and T loops). Further hydrogen bonds mediate the characteristic L-shaped molecular structure. tRNAs have two regions of fundamental functional importance: the anti-codon, which is responsible for specific mRNA codon recognition, and the 3' end, to which the tRNAs corresponding amino acid is attached (by aminoacyl-tRNA synthetases). tRNAs cope with the degeneracy of the genetic code in two manners: having more than one tRNA (with a specific anti-codon) for a particular amino acid; and 'wobble' base-pairing, i.e. permitting non-standard base-pairing at the 3rd anti-codon position. The record is from RNAcentral.